ACGAACGCUGGCGGCGUGCCUAAUACAUGCAAGUAGAACGCUGAAGAGAGGAGCUUGCUCUUCUUGGAUGAGUUGCGAACGGGUGAGUAACGCGUAGGUAACCUGCCUUGUAGCGGGGGAUAACUAUUGGAAACGAUAGCUAAUACCGCAUAACAAUGGAUGACACAUGUCAUUUAUUUGAAAGGGGCAAUUGCUCCACUACAAGAUGGACCUGCGUUGUAUUAGCUAGUAGGUGAGGUAAUGGCUCACCUAGGCGACGAUACAUAGCCGACCUGAGAGGGUGAUCGGCCACACUGGGACUGAGACACGGCCCAGACUCCUACGGGAGGCAGCAGUAGGGAAUCUUCGGCAAUGGGGGCAACCCUGACCGAGCAACGCCGCGUGAGUGAAGAAGGUUGUCGGAUCGUAAAGCUCUGUUGUAAGUCAAGAACGGGUGUGAGAGUGGAAAGUUCACACUGUGACGGUAGCUUAACAGAAAGGGACGGCUAACUACGUG
This 496-nucleotide ribosomal RNA is filed under the name uncultured bacterium. RNAcentral's name for it is "partial 16S ribosomal RNA". It matches the Rfam family "Bacterial small subunit ribosomal RNA", at positions 29 to 507 of the family's 1533-position model. The record is from RNAcentral.